This is a non-coding RNA of Callorhinchus milii (elephant shark), 73 nucleotides long. NCBI's taxonomy places the organism in Eukaryota, Metazoa, Chordata, Chondrichthyes, Chimaeriformes, Callorhinchidae. The record is from the annotation of a RefSeq genome assembly.
AGUCCUGUAGCUCAGUAGUUUUGAGCACUCGCUUUGUAAGCGAGAGACCUGGGUUCGAUUCCCGGCAGGGUGA